UACUGUGGGGAGGAAAAAAAAAAAUCCCACCCAACAAUCAAAGACUGUUGUGGCCAUGAUUUUUUGGAUUGUCUACUAUAUAGCUUGGACAAUUCUUCUAAUAGUGGGCUCCAGGGAACCAUCUUUGGGCUUUAUCUCACUUACUCAGCUUCUACUUGAGACUACUGUGCAUUCUAAGCUUUCCCACAGGAUCUAGAUUCUUCGCCUGCAAAACAUGUGCUUUUGCUUCUGCACCAAAAUCAAUCACAGAUCUGGGGCCCCUGAGAGGGAUGGAGGAUCAAUACAACAGAAACACACCAGUGAAUGUGCCGAGAAGUCUUCCUAGGAGAUUCUUCAAGAAGUAAAGUUUAAAGAGUGCUGUUUCCCAGCAUAGUCACAAAUAAAAUAGGUAAUGGCCAUCACUAAGGCAGGGUUGUUGUGGUUGCACUUGACUUGAAAAUACAGCU
Molecule: long non-coding RNA, 446 nt
Organism: Tympanuchus pallidicinctus (lesser prairie-chicken)
Lineage: Eukaryota; Metazoa; Chordata; Aves; Galliformes; Phasianidae
Exons: 3
Source: RefSeq, a predicted model, not a curated record